RNAcentral lists this long non-coding RNA (586 nucleotides) under Salmo salar (Atlantic salmon). RNAcentral's name for it is "lncRNA (ENSSSAG00000096335.1)". The record is from RNAcentral. Lineage: Eukaryota; Metazoa; Chordata; Actinopteri; Salmoniformes; Salmonidae.
CUUCUUUCCAUUUGAAACCGUCUACAACAUCUCUGACACCCCUCGACCCCUUGUCUGGCCGAACACCAAUCGGCGCUGCAUCCCCCUCACCCCCUGGAUCCCCUGCCAGAUCCCCUUCCACUCUCUCCAAGUUCUUCAGCCUCUCUUCCCUCUCCUCUCUCCACAUGUCAUCUGUCUCUUCUUCUUCUUCAGAGGAAGGAUCACAGACCUCCUCCCCUUUUAGUGCUUCCUCUGUUUCCCUGGCUGUCUCAACUCAGCCAUCCUCCUCUGCCACUCCCCCCAGUCCUGCCUGCCCUUCCUCCACAACCCACACCUCCUCCCCUUUUAGUGCUUCCUCUGUUUCCCUGGCUGUCUCAACUCAGCCAUCCUCCUCUGCCACUCCCCCCAGUCCUGCCUGCCCUUCCUCCACAACCCACGUCUCCUCCCCUGCCCCCCAGUCCUCCUCUCCAAACCCCGUGGACCACCAUGGAGAGACCAACAAAGACAGUGAGACUGCCAGAGAUCUUAUGAGCUCUGAGGUCAAAGAGGUGGGGGCAUUUGUUCCACAGACAAAGAGAAUGGUACCCCGAUUUGCUGGCAUCGCAGG